CCUACGGGUGGCUGCAGUCGAGAAUCUUCGGCAAUGGACGAAAGUCUGACCGAGCGACGCCGCGUGCGGGAUGAAGGUCUUCGGAUUGUAAACCGCUGUCGAGGGGAAUCAAAUGUUAGGGGGUUCUCCCCCUAAUUUGAGAGAACCCUGGAGGAAGGGGAGGCUAAGCUCGUGCCAGCAGCCGCGGUAAGACGAGCUCCCCAAACGUUAUUCGGUAUCACUGGGCUUAAAGAGUUCGUAGGCGGCGAAGUAGGUGAGGUGUGAAAGCCCUCGGC
RNAcentral lists this ribosomal RNA (275 nucleotides) under uncultured bacterium. Its description in RNAcentral is "partial 16S ribosomal RNA". It matches the Rfam family "Bacterial small subunit ribosomal RNA", at positions 338 to 608 of the family's 1533-position model. The record is from RNAcentral.